This 585-nucleotide ribosomal RNA is filed under the name uncultured bacterium. Its description in RNAcentral is "bacterial SSU rRNA". It matches the Rfam family "Bacterial small subunit ribosomal RNA", at positions 338 to 916 of the family's 1533-position model. The record is from RNAcentral.
CCUACGGGAGGCAGCAGUGGGGAAUUUUGGACAAUGGGCGCAAGCCUGAUCCAGCAAUGCCGCGUGCAGGACGAAGGCCUUCGGGUUGUAAACUGCUUUUGUACAGAACGAAAGGGCUCUGGAUAAUACCUGGGGCAGAUGACGGUACUGUAAGAAUAAGCACCGGCUAACUACGUGCCAGCAGCCGCGGUAAUACGUAGGGUGCGAGCGUUAAUCGGAAUUACUGGGCGUAAAGCGUGCGCAGGCGGUUUUGUAAGACCGAUGUGAAAUCCCCGGGCUCAACCUGGGAACUGCAUUGGUGGCUGCAAGGCUGGAGUGCGGUAGAGGGGGAUGGAAUUCCGCGUGUAGCAGUGAAAUGCGUAGAUAUGCGGAGGAACACCGAUGGCGAAGGCAAUCCCCUGGGCCUGCACUGACGCUCAUGCACGAAAGCGUGGGGAGUAAACAGGAUUAGAUACCCUGGUAGUCCACGCCCUAAACGAUGUCAACUGGUUGUUGGGUCUUUGCUGACUCAGUAACGAAGCUAACGCGUGAAGUUGACCGCCUGGGGAGUACGGCCGCAAGGUUGAAACUCAAAGGAAUUGACGG